Molecule: unclassified non-coding RNA, 389 nt
Filed under: plant metagenome
Description: partial contains 5.8S ribosomal RNA, internal transcribed spacer 2, and large subunit ribosomal RNA
Rfam family: 5.8S ribosomal RNA (bases 1-104)
Source: RNAcentral
AAAUGCGAUACGUAGUGUGCAUUGCAGAAUUCCGUGAACCAUCGAAUCUUUGAACGCAUAUUGCGCUCGAGCCCUCGGGCAAGAGCAUGUCUGCCUCAGCGUCGGUUUACACCCUCACCCCUCCCACUUUUGUUGGGUGUGUUGGCUUCUAUGCCAGCCAUAGGGGUGGAUCUGGCUUCCCCAAUUCGCUGUAGUGGAUUGGGUUGGCUGAAGUAUAGAGGCUUAAGCAAGGACCCGAUAUGGGCUUCAACUGGAUAGGUAGCACCGGCUUUCGCCGACUACACGAAGUUGUUGCUUGUGGAUCUUGCUAGAGGCCAAGCAGGAACGUGCCUUUGGCAUGUCUAAACUUUCGACCUGAGCUCAGGCAAGGCUACCCGCUGAACUUAAGC